Non-coding RNA from Paramuricea clavata, 289 nucleotides. The record is from the annotation of a GenBank genome assembly. Lineage: Eukaryota; Metazoa; Cnidaria; Anthozoa; Malacalcyonacea; Plexauridae.
AAAUUCUAUGUUCGUAUACAAUAUAGAAAUUUGCGUAUUAACUUGUUCUAUUUGUAAUCAUUUACAAGCAAUAAUCUUAAGGGAAGAUAAUCAAGCAGUUAUAUAGUAGUGAAGAGUAUAGCAUUGUAGGUAGUGAAGGUAGUAGCGAGGGUAGCGGGGGUAGCGGAGGUAGCGAGGGUAGCGGAGGUAGCGAGGGUAGCUAGGGUAGCGACGGUAGCGAGGGUAGCGGAGGUAGCGAGGGUAGCGAGGGUAGCUAGGGUAGCGAGGGUAGCGGAGGUAGCGAGGGUAG